RNAcentral lists this ribosomal RNA (262 nucleotides) under uncultured bacterium. Its description in RNAcentral is "partial 16S ribosomal RNA". It matches the Rfam family "Bacterial small subunit ribosomal RNA", at positions 335 to 613 of the family's 1533-position model. The record is from RNAcentral.
GCCCCUACGGGGGGCAGCAGUGGGGAAUAUUGCACAAUGGGGGAAACCCUGAUGCAGCGACGCCGCGUGAGUGAAGAAGUAUUUCGGUAUGUAAAGCUCUAUCAGCAGGGAAGAAGAAGGACGGUACCUGAGUAAGAAGCCCCGGCUAACUACGUGCCAGCAGCCGCGGUAAUACGUAGGGGGCAAGCGUUAUCCGGAUUUACUGGGUGUAAAGGGAGCGUAGACGGCGAAGAAAGUCUGAAGUGAAAGCCCGCGGCUCAAC